CCCAAAAGCUUUAAAUUACAACUUUGAUGCCACUGAUCAGGGUUCCCGCAGUUGCAACUGGGACAUGGAGAAGCCGCAGAAGAGGCAGGGCAGGCCUGAAAGCACCAUCUCACACUGCAGAGCUCUCAGCUGCCCAAGUGAUGUGCAGAGAAAUCCCCCUUCAUGAUAGACGGAGUUUGAAGUUCUCCUGGACUCUGGCUGCAGGGGCCUGCCCGUUAGUCAAGAAGUAGCCACUCGGGGCACUAUGAGCACUCCUUGGGGAGCUCACGUGGAGGACGACGUCCGCAGCACGGCUGUCCACACCAGCAAUCCUUGCAGCGGGUCAUAUGGGCUUCACGAGGGUAUGAAGAAAACAAAAUGAAAACAAACUCCUGAGCGCUCACUGCUCAUCACCACUCAAUUGCUCACAAUCCUAGAAAAUAUGCCAAGCAGACUCCUGGACGCUAGAAAAAUGGACUAAAUGUGGCUGGAUAAUAUGUUUCUGCUUCUCAGCUUCUGAAUGUCAUCCAGCAAGAAGGAUCCGUGAGCGGGAUGCUCCACAGAUGUGAUUCACAAAGUCGCCCCUGCUGGCCUUUUUCCUUCCAUCUGGGGGUCAGCCCAGGUCUAUGGGUAAAUCACAUCCUUCUACCAGUUUGUUCCCAGGACCCACCUGAGAAAUCAAAGAACCAACUCCAGUGAUUGGAAAUUGCUGGACAGAAAUGCCCAUUCUCCCCACCUGAGGAAGUAAUCAACGCCAAGAAUGUCCAACUGUGAGUAAAGCCACAGAAGAGAAGGGAGACUCAUGUCCGUGGAGCCAUUAACAACCCACUGGUGGCUCAUCCAGAGAGAACGGAUCUGCAAGAGGUGGAACAACCUACAAAAAAAGAUGUUGCCAAUGAGUUAUUUCCUUUCUCCCCUUUUUUUCUUAACUCCCGAAAUCUAGCUUCAAUCUCUAUCACUCUACUGAAAUUCCUCUUUCACCUGCCUGAAAUUAUACAGUGAGAAAGGGGUUGGGCAGAAAAUCUAUGCUAGGGCUUUCUGGCUGAGGCCAACACCACUGCUUGGCACUGCCUGUGCUAACAAGGAGCAUUUUGACCUCAUAGGAGCAGAAACACAAAGGUUCAUGAGGCCACGACUUGGCAUGGGUGAGCACCUUACACAUGCCGUGUAAGGGACCAUGCUAAGGACUGCGGAUAUGGAGGGGAACACACAGGGCUUCCUGCUUUCAGGUUGCUCAGUGUCUUGGGGAAGGGAGACACUAAUUACACAUACUCACAAAUGUGAGUCCAAUUAAUUACAAUUGUGACGGGCUCAAGGGAGCCAAGAGACUAGUCUUCUUAGGAUAGGUGCAUGGUUCUGUAAGGAAAAGGAAGGAGAGGGUGUGUCCAUUAAGGUGACAGGAGCUGCCUGAACAACUGCCAACACCUUGCUGGCCUAUCUCCCGACAAGCUCAUCUGAUCGGUUUGUAGAUGAAUUCCUGGUCUGUGGGCAGGUUUCCUCCCUGCAGGGAUGGGGGAACAUAGGCCCUUCAUCUUCGGGAUCCACCCUCCUGUGGGCCAGGCCUAGACUUGUCCUCUGACUUGCUUUCACAGCAGUGACCACAAGGAGUACACUGUAUUGUUCAGGUUCUUGAUCUCUUUCUCUGUUUUUGUUUUUAUUUUGUGCUUGUUUUGUUUUAUACUAGUAAAGAUAUUGGUUUGGGUGAGGGCUGUGCUCUGGUGGUGGGCCAGGCUGUAAAUGGUCUUUUAUUCAUGACACAUGUUUAGCACUGACUAUGAGGUAAGCAAGAUGCUGGGAUACUGGAGGACUCAAAGGGAAUAAGCUAUGCCUUUGAUCUACAAUGGCCUAUGUCUCAUCAGGAUAAACAGAAAUUUUGGUAGUUAGAAAGUGGAAUCGGCUCAAGAACUAUUUAGAUACUUAGAUUAUUCUGGAGAUAAAAAUGGAUCCGCUACGAUGCUUCAGCUUCGUGUAACAAUUUCUGGCCCAAGGUAGUUUCAGUGCAGGUGGUUAUGAUCUCACCGAGUCCAGAGUCAGGAGGCUCCAGCGUUUAUUCACCCUGUCAGCAGGGGCAGGCCAUGGCAGCUCCUCUGGGAUCCUCUUCCAGAGGCUCUCACCGAGGCCCUCGGACAGCAGCCCACCCACCCCGCACUGAUUUCCGUUUCCCAGAGGUCCCCUCCUCAGAACUGAUAUCAGAUGGGAGAAGCUUAGGCAGCAAAGGGAACCUCAGAAUCCGGGGUGUGGUUAGGGUCACCAUGGAAACGCCUGGGCGGAGCUUUGGCGAUGGGCGGGUCCCCAGGGAGGACUCACAUCACGUGAGGAACAGCCCCCCUUACGCCAGCUCUCAGAUCCCGUGGUCCUGGGAGCACCAGGUGGCUGCCCUGAGUGGGCCGGUCACUGCCCCCACCCCCAUUUGCUCCACCUGUGAAAGGAAGGCUGUGCGAAGGAGGAGCGAGAACUGGGUGCUGCAAUGGGCAAGGGUCGGUGUGAACACCCCCCACCCCUAGGGGAUGGGAGAUGGUGUCAGGGUCGUGACGUCAAGAGGGCCACAGUGAGAGCCGCCUGGCGAUUGGCCCGCCAAGCUCCGUGGUGAUUGGCCGCACAAGCAAGACCAGCUGAGAAUCACUUGGCGAUUGGCCAGGAGCGCAGCUGUGACGUCACAGGGAGGCAUUGUGACGAGUCAGGGUGGUUAUAAAAGCCGUGGCACCUAUCUGAGGCCUUGCUGAGAGACAGGGCACCUCCGCCUCUACUCCUUCACUUCGCUAUCUCCACCACAUUCUUCAACCCGAAGGACAGCGCGCCCUCCACCCAUCGUCCCGCCCCAGGCCUCUCACCCACACUAUGGGCUUCACCUUCCUGUUCGCCACACCAUCCUGCCCCUCUGCGGUCCCGCGAGGCCCGCACCUGCAUCUGGCGCCUCAGGGACCCAAACCCGGAGGCGCUCCUCACCUACAUUCCCAUUUGGAGUCAGAGUACAACAGACCACUCACCUGAGGUGCUGGUGGCCCAGGGACCUUCAGAUCUCCGGCAUCGAAACUAGAUUCAGGAUAGGAUAUCUGAGAGCCCUCCGACCACGUCAGCACACAGCAGCAGACACCCGGCCAAUCAGGAGCCCUCUGAGCCAGCUCAGCACAGGGUCAGUGAGCACCCUGGACACCUAGCCAACUAGGAGCCUCCCACCCCCAGCGCAACAAAGAGCUACCAAUGACCCCCCAACCCAGUUGCACACCAGGUGUCUGGCCCCAAGUUUUCCCUUUUCGUUCUGCGAUGAGCCCUCCUCUGCCUGGGAUGGUCAGCACCCCUGCCAGGCCCAGGUGAGCUGGCUGGAAGAGGCUGCUACCUGGUAGAAAAAAAAUACCGAAUACCAGUCAUGUGCCACCCCCUCAACCAUGCUGCACUCAGACAAUCUGAGGUCAGAAGUUGCAGAGAGUGAGAAAAGCAGCCUCGGAAACUUCGCAUUGCCUCCUGGCUACCUUGGCCCUGGCCAUGUCCCUGGCCCCCAGGUGGUGCCCCAACCACCAGAAAGAGAAGAACCAGUCCCAGCUGCCCCCAAACCCCACCACGAUUCAAUCAAUCUGUAAAACAGAAGGAAGCCCAGAAAACUCGACAAAACAACCUGAACACAAAAAUGUGGGCAUCUUGACCCAGACAUGAGAAAUCUGAAGCCACCAGUCCAGGCGGAAAUCCAUCUUCCAGUGGAGGGACCAGGUCAGCGGCUGUCUGUGAGGGCAGAGGUUGCUGCCUCUGUUGGAGCCAGGCUCAGAAACGUCCAUGGUUUGUGGCCUAGCCAGUGCUUGGGGCCAUUCAGAGUGCGGUCCCCCUGAUGGGUCACUGUGCUGAGGUGCUGGUGGGCUCAUGGCCUGAAGACCUCUGGCCUGGGACCAACUUCAGCUGUCCUGGUGGCAUAUCCCUUGGGGAGCCUUUUUCUUCUGGGAGUUCUCUUGUUCAGAGGGAGCAAAGGCUGCCAUGCCUUCAAACCAGAGAAUAACCAGAGUUGGAAGAGCUGUCCAUGGAAAUCCGAUUUAUAAAGGUUUGACAGGCUUUGAGGGAAAGCUGAAAUUGACAAAAACAGCUCUUAACAUCAGCAGGGAAAUUAGUAAGAAUCUGUCUGAGAAUGUCUCUGAGCUAAAGGAUUCCCUAAAACUGUGUGAAGAAGAAAACCAAAAGCUGAAAAAUCUGCUUGUCAACUUGGCGUCACAGGAAAGACACGAUUUAAAGAAUUUGCCAGGGGACAGGGCAUCCGUGGACAUGGCUGGAGAUGAGGAGGGGAACUAUGAGCAAGUCCGGAGGAGUCCCUGGCCCUGAGCGUAGAGUCCUUGGCCAAGCUCCUCCAGGCUAAGGGCAGGUCCUCCAGAUUGGAGAGGGAGGUGGACAUGCUACAAAAACAGGCCAAGCAGAGAUGUGAGUGGCAGGCCGACGUCUGUGAGCUGGAAGGCUUCUGCUUU
Long non-coding RNA from Equus caballus (horse), 4421 nucleotides. Lineage: Eukaryota; Metazoa; Chordata; Mammalia; Perissodactyla; Equidae. The record is from Ensembl.